Molecule: non-coding RNA, 31 nt
Filed under: Rattus norvegicus (Norway rat)
Lineage: Eukaryota; Metazoa; Chordata; Mammalia; Rodentia; Muridae
Source: RNAcentral
UCUGGUGAUUUCUUUCGUGCAGUGACAUGUU